RNAcentral lists this ribosomal RNA (677 nucleotides) under uncultured Prevotellaceae bacterium. RNAcentral describes it as "bacterial SSU rRNA". It matches the Rfam family "Bacterial small subunit ribosomal RNA", at positions 32 to 696 of the family's 1533-position model. Lineage: Bacteria; Pseudomonadati; Bacteroidota; Bacteroidia; Bacteroidales; Prevotellaceae. The record is from RNAcentral.
AACGCUAGCUACAGGCUUAACACAUGCAAGUCGCGGGGCAUCAUGGCGUGACCUUCGGGUCAUGUUGAUGGCGACCGGCGCACGGGUGAGUAACGCGUAUCCAACCUGCCUGUCACCGGGGCACAGCCCGCCGAAAGGCGGAUUAAUACCCCAUGCGGUCCGCGGUUGGCAUCAGAAGCGGACGAAAGGAUUGGCGGUGACGGAUGGGGAUGCGUCCGAUUAGCUGGUUGGCGGGGUAACGGCCCACCAAGGCGACGAUCGGUAGGGGUUCUGAGAGGAAGGUCCCCCACACUGGAACUGAGACACGGUCCAGACUCCUACGGGAGGCAGCAGUGAGGAAUAUUGGUCAAUGGAGGCAACUCUGAACCAGCCAAGUAGCGUGCAGGAUGACGGCCCUACGGGUUGUAAACUGCUUUUAUGCGCGGAUAAAUUGAGGUACGUGUACCUUAUUGCAGGUAGCGCAAGAAAAAGGACCGGCUAAUUCCGUGCCAGCAGCCGCGGUAAUACGGAAGGUCCGGGCGUUAUCCGGAUUUAUUGGGUUUAAAGGGAGCGCAGGCCGCCUUUUAAGCGUGUUGUGAAAAGCCGUGGCUCAACCACGGUCGUGCAGCGCGAACUGGAGGGCUUGAGUGCGCGGAAGGCAGGCGGAAUUCGUGGUGUAGCGGUGAAAUGCUUAGAUA